AAAGUCGUAACAAGGUCUCCGUUGGUGAACCAGCGGAGGGAUCAUUACCAGGGGGCCGAGAGGCCUUCCCCAAACCCGUACGAACCCAUCCCGUUGCCUCGGCGGACGCCCGGCCCUCCCACUCGGGGGGGCCGGCCCGCCGGGGGUUCAGAACACCCUAUCUCCCCUCGCGGGGUUAGUCAUCUCUGAGUACACUAAAAACUAGUCACAACUUUCAACAAUGGAUCUCUUGGCUCUG
Molecule: unclassified non-coding RNA, 238 nt
Filed under: Ascomycota sp.
Lineage: Eukaryota; Fungi; Ascomycota
Description: partial contains small subunit ribosomal RNA, internal transcribed spacer 1, and 5.8S ribosomal RNA
Rfam family: Eukaryotic small subunit ribosomal RNA (bases 1-47)
Source: RNAcentral